UUUUGACCUCGGAUCAAGUAGGGAUACCCGCUGAACUUAAGCAUAUCA
Molecule: ribosomal RNA, 48 nt
Filed under: Pseudoophiobolus achilleae
Lineage: Eukaryota; Fungi; Ascomycota; Dothideomycetes; Pleosporales; Phaeosphaeriaceae
Description: partial 28S ribosomal RNA
Source: RNAcentral